This 229-nucleotide long non-coding RNA is filed under the name Prunus persica (peach). Its description in RNAcentral is "long non-coding RNA (PPER_LNC000742)". Lineage: Eukaryota; Viridiplantae; Streptophyta; Magnoliopsida; Rosales; Rosaceae. The record is from RNAcentral.
UAUGAUCAAUGAAAUUAAUUCUUAAUAAAUUUGUGCGUAAUGUAAAUUUAGCCCAUCCCAAUUUGAAAUCCUAGGGUCGUCCCUGGAUAUAACCAAGCAAGAAAAUUUCAUAAUAACUUAGGUUUCUCCUUAUUUGAUCAACCAGAAUUUAGGUAUUCCACAAUAAAAACUCAUGCAUGGCUUCUUUAUAAUCAUCAAACACAUCCUAUAGGUUUUUCUCAUAUUUCUC